AUGAAUGUAAAGGGAGAGAUUACCCUUGACACCCGAAUCAGGGUGUACUUGCGGUAACGCCGAAGGAGUAAACCACCGACAAGCGGGAGGUGAAUCUCUCAGGCAAAAGGACUUUUACGGGACG
This 124-nucleotide non-coding RNA is filed under the name Paenibacillus sp. Its description in RNAcentral is "Glycine sequence". It matches the Rfam family "Glycine riboswitch aptamer". From Rfam's summary of the family: This family represents the bacterial glycine riboswitch. Glycine riboswitches usually consist of two metabolite-binding aptamers domains with similar structures in tandem. Lineage: Bacteria; Bacillati; Bacillota; Bacilli; Caryophanales; Paenibacillaceae. The record is from RNAcentral.